AGACGCGCACGCGCAAUCGCCGUAAUGGCCAAUAUAGUAACAAUUUUUUAAGUCAUUUCACUUAUUUGCUGGUCGUUUUUGUAGUCUAGUCGUAACAUUUGCACCGAACGUCUGCAAUGCCUUCAUUUAAUGAUUUGACCACCUCUGAAUUGUCCACAUUAUUGAAAAAGAAUGGAGUGGAUAAUGAAGUCAUUGAAAAAUUUCAAGAGUGACAGCUGACCUGUAACACCAAUUCAGUGAUAAAAGUAACAGCACCACCACAAGUCCUGCUCCUUCACUCCCCUCUCCUAAGCUCAUUCCUACUUAAACUUGCUGUGAACAUUCAUUAAUAGUUCAAUUGUAAUUUAUAGUGCCCAAAUGCUCUUAAUGCAAAUUCCCGUACCCCAAAAGUAUUCAAGUUUAUUGUCAUUUGUUCAAUAAUUGGAACUUGAAGUACUUGUAAAAGUCUAAUUUGCAAUUUAGUAAUAUUUUACUUGUUUAAGGAUUUCUUACGAAACUACAAAAUUCCAAAUCAUUAUUUUUAUGCUGUUGAAGCUGAAAACAGAGUAUUUACACUCAAAUCUGAUUAACGAGCUCAUCAGAAAUGUCUGCACUAGUGUGCUGAGAUUUACAAACCAUCCCAGCAAAACAGAACGUGUAAUGAUUGCACUUAUGAUUGUUGAAUAAUAUCCAUUCCUGAAGGAUCAACUAUUGGAUGCAAACUCAAAGCCAUGGGGAUCUUUUGAGAUGAAAAUCUAUAACCAAUUAAAAAAAUUGCAAAGAAAGAGAUCUAACACGCCUGUUACCAAUGUUUCGCAAACUAAAGGCAAAACAACAAAGAAAAGGAACAGUCAUUGUUGGACGAACGUUCCCGAGCCGUGCGAAAGUAAAGAUCUUACAGCAGUUGUAUCAAAAACAAAAAAGAAGUGGCAGUCAGCUAAAAAGGAUUAUGAAAAAAUUCAGGAGUUGAUGGCUGCAUGCUAUGCUUCAAGGUGAUCACUUGUCCACGAAGACGUCAGAAGAAUAAUGGAAGUUGUUGAAAUGUUCCCUCCUUUAAAAAAUCUGCUAUACAUCAAGGCUGAAUUUGCAAAAGUUAUGGGGAAUAAAGACGUAGCUACACAGGUAAAGGUAAACUUCAACAAAGUCGGGCGUCACAGGCUGUUGGCAUAUGCUGAGAAAAAUGGUGGUAAACAUUCAGAAGACUUGAAGAAAAUGCACAGUGCUAAUGACAGUGGUAUCCUUGAAGAAGAUCCGCCCCUG
This is a long non-coding RNA of Xenia sp. Carnegie-2017, 1239 nucleotides long. RefSeq lists it as uncharacterized. Lineage: Eukaryota; Metazoa; Cnidaria; Anthozoa; Malacalcyonacea; Xeniidae. The record is from RefSeq and is a predicted model, not a curated record. The transcript has 7 exons.